Molecule: non-coding RNA, 31 nt
Filed under: Mus musculus (house mouse)
Lineage: Eukaryota; Metazoa; Chordata; Mammalia; Rodentia; Muridae
Source: RNAcentral
UGAAAGAAGUCUCUCCUCAGGAGGCUGAAGC